GAGUGAACGCUGGCGGCAGGCCUAACACAUGCAAGUCGAACGGCAGCACAGUGGUAGCAAUACCAUGGGUGGCGAGUGGCGGACGGGUGAGGAAUACAUCGGAAUCUACCUUUUCGUGGGGGAUAACGUAGGGAAACUUACGCUAAUACCGCAUACGACCUUAGGGUGAAAGCGGAGGACCUUCGGGCUUCGCGCGGAUAGAUGAGCCGAUGUCGGAUUAGCUAGUUGGCGGGGUAAAGGCCCACCAAGGCGACGAUCCGUAGCUGGUCUGAGAGGAUGAUCAGCCACACUGGAACUGAGACACGGUCCAGACUCCUACGGGAGGCAGCAGUGGGGAAUAUUGGACAAUGGGCGCAAGCCUGAUCCAGCCAUGCCGCGUGGGUGAAGAAGGCCUUCGGGUUGUAAAGCCCUUUUGUUGGGAAAGAAAAGCAGUCGGUUAAUACCCGAUUGUUCUG
Molecule: ribosomal RNA, 455 nt
Filed under: Xanthomonas sp.
Lineage: Bacteria; Pseudomonadati; Pseudomonadota; Gammaproteobacteria; Lysobacterales; Lysobacteraceae
Description: bacterial SSU rRNA
Rfam family: Bacterial small subunit ribosomal RNA
Source: RNAcentral